UUGUGAAGCAGAAUUCAC
RNAcentral lists this non-coding RNA (18 nucleotides) under Arabidopsis thaliana (thale cress). Lineage: Eukaryota; Viridiplantae; Streptophyta; Magnoliopsida; Brassicales; Brassicaceae. RNAcentral also lists the same sequence under 1 other name. The record is from RNAcentral.